This is a long non-coding RNA of Choloepus didactylus (southern two-toed sloth), 4538 nucleotides long. RefSeq lists it as uncharacterized. The record is from RefSeq and is a predicted model, not a curated record. The transcript is spliced from 2 exons. NCBI's taxonomy places the organism in Eukaryota, Metazoa, Chordata, Mammalia, Pilosa, Megalonychidae.
AAUAUCAACCAAUAUUUGUAAUGAACCCACUCAUUUUUCAAGACUGAGCGUCUUUGUUUAAAAAAAUGUAAUCAAACACUUCUUGAAAGUGUGAUGUCAAAUUGUGGUGGGAUUGCAAGCACAGAUUGGCUAUAAUAGAUGCAAGAUUUGGGCAAAAAUCAACGAAAGCUCUAUUAUUCCAAGAAAAACUAUUGCAUAUUUGGUAAUUUUCUGUAAACUGUGUGCUGUAUCUCUAUUAUCAAAAUUUGUUGUGUGAGGCUGGGUGCAGUAUUUACAGAGAGUUGGUUUAGGCUGUUGAACAUUUUCCAACACACCUUUGAUAUGUACCUGGGAGUGUAACAUGGUUUUGUUUUUGUAUUCUGGAGGAGUGGAGGUUCUGAGUGGAAGGGUGUGUUUGGAGUGUGAGGUCCAUGUGUGUUCAUUCUUGGGUUGUUAGGGGGUCAAUGAGAGGGCAUUUUGUGCCUGAUUAUGGGUGUGGGGGAGAUGAGGCUGGCUGUGUUCCUGGAAAUGGGAUAUUCUGUAUGGGUAUUUGUGGGCCUCUUGGGGAUUGUAGAAAUUCAGGGAGCAUGAGCUGAAUUGUGCUUGUUCUUGGGAUUGUGUUCCUAUGAAUUCAGAUUUCGGGAUGUUUGUGUGUAUUUAAUGGGUUGGUGAGAAUGUGAUAUGUGUAUUCAAAUGUGUGAAUUGAUGGUGCCAGCAUGCAUUAUUUCAGAUUAACUGGAGGUUAUGAGAAUGUCGUUUGUGUGUGGCUCAGUGAUUUUGGGGGGUUGAGAUACAAUUAAUGUAUUUCAGUGGGGUUGUUUAUUUGUAAUUUGAGGCACUGGAAAUUUUUUUUUGCAUGUUGUGCAUGCUUUCCCCAUAAAUCUUGGAGAAUCUUUUGUGUUUAAUUGUGGGUUUGGCAGAAAUAUCUGCAUAUGCAUAUGAGCAGUGUUAAGCAGUGUGUCUGUGUAUAUUAGUUUCUAGGGUCUGUGUUUUUUGUUCAUUUGGGAAACUUGGGGAUACUUGAAUUUGAAUUUAAUGGGGCAUGUUGAUUAGUGAUGUAUAUUUUGGUGAUUUUCGGGAAUUGUAUGUGUCCUUUGGUUUUUGAAGGUAGCUGUAAGACUUUUAAGUAGCUGGCAGGAUGUUGUAUAUGUUCAGAUGAAAAGAUUGUGUGAUUGUGGAGUUUGUUGAGUCUUAUUCUGGAAGUUGCUGGAGUUAUUUUUGUGAAUCUUGUCAAGUGUGGGGAAUAUGUAUAUACAGGUAGUGUGGGGCCAUAUAGGUAUUUUGAGAGUAUAGGGUGUUUGUGCAUAUUUAUAGCAUGCUGGAGAAUUGUGGGUGUAUUUGACGCAUAUGUAUAUUGAGUGUAUGUGUAUUCAGGGAUCAUGGCAGUUUGGAUGUAUAACUUCUAGGACUAUGAAAUUGAAUGUAUCAUUCGAGAAUUAUUGGUUUGCAUUCUGGGAAGUUAUUCUGUAUAUUCCUGUGUGUUUAUAUAUGGAAGUAAAUAACUUAGUUUGCCUGAGCUGCUAUGACAGACUCCACACAAGGGAUUGUCUUAAACAGGAAAUGUUUAUUGGUCUCUGGUUUGAAGCUAGAAGUCGUCCAAAUCAAGGUACAGGCAAGGCUUGCUUUCUCGUGAAUAUCUAUAGCGCUCUGGUGCUGGCGGCCAGCAAUCCUUGGAUGUAUUUCUGCCUUCUGUCACUUGCCUAUGUCCUCUCCUUUCUAGCUUCUGUAACACCUGAUUCUUUUUAUAAAAAUUGCUGCAAUCUAAUUAAAACACACCCUCAUUCAUUUGGCCACACAAUAACUAAAAGUAUCAUGUUCAGGAGAUCCUACUUACAAUAGGUUCCCACUAAUAACAGCAUGUCUAAUUUUGUGUACAUAAUUCAGUCUACCAUGGGGGUUAGUUUAUUUUAUGUUUUCCAGGUAUAUGAUGUGAUUAUAUCUGAGAAUUUGGGGUGUAGGGUAGGUUUGUGUAAUUGUGGAUUUGGAAGCAGUUUUAUGUGUACCUAUAUAGGAUAGAAUGAGAUAUUUCUUUGUGUCUUCAGUGUGUGUGACUCAUAUGUGUGUAUAUCCAGGAGUGAGUGGAUGAACUGUAUAUGUUUAUCUAUAGGAUAUAGUAUGUUAAAAGUAUUCACAGCCUUCUUUGGAAAAUGCUAUGGUUUUCAAAUGUGUCUUUGGCAAUGGUUUGGGGUUACAGAGGUGGGGUUUUAUUCUGGAUAUAUGGAGAUGAUGUAUAAUGCUUGCUGGUGUAUAUGUUCAGGUAUUGGAAAUAUUUGAGAGUGUAUGUCUGCGUUUACUGUCUGUAGGGAGAUCAUGUUUGCAUAUUAUCAAUAGUGCAGAGAUAGCUGGUGUUUGUAUGUUUUGUGUGUAUCUAUCUGAGUGUUAGCUACAUAAUUAUAAUCAUGGGUUUUGUGUAAGUGUCUUCAUAGGGAGUUUGUGUGUGUAAUAAAGGGUUCACUGAAUAUCUUUGCUUAUUCUGGAAUAAAAUGCUCGAAGGUCUUGGUACAGUUGUGUGUAUAUGUGUUUUCAGGUCCUUGUUUGUAAUUGAUGUCUAUAGUUUGUUUGUACCUCUCUAUGCAUUUGAGUUCACGGAGAUCAGGAAGUUCAUCGAGUAUGUCCUCUUUGAUAUAUGAUAGUUCAGUAUUGGAAACUAACAGUAUGUGUAGGUUGUGCAUGUGUUGAGAAAUUGUGACUAUUGUACAGUUGUGGGAUUGUGUGUAGGUCCAUUAGGGGGACAUAUGAGAUAAAUGUUUGUUUCCUUGGUGCUUUGAGAGCCUGUGCGUUUGUAGGGUGUUUAGUGUGUAUAUACCAGAAAUGUGUUUGUUGCAAGUUUGUUUUCAGGCAGGUUUGUAAUUUUUUAUGUGCCUAUCGUAGGACUGGCAUGUGGGUAUUCUAGGUGGGUAUGUUUUCACUGUAAAAAUUUAGGAAUAAUAGGUCAUUUGACUAUACUUAAGGUGUGGGUACAAUUGGGCAUGUUUGUCUAGGAUAUAUGAGAGUCUGUGUGUCUGGAGAUAUAUAGGGUGGUUUUACUGGUGUAGUUAGGGUGGGAGUUGAGGGUCCUCCUUGGGGUACAACUCCAUCCUGUAUACAUGUUCCUAUGAAAGGGGAUCAGGUUCACUGGAGCUGGUUCAUAUUAGCAAGAUAUGGUGGUUUAGAGCUGUAUGUACUCCAGAAAAAUAUGUUCUUAAUCAAUUCCCAUUGUAAUUAGUACCUUUUGAUGGGGGUAUCUCCAGUCAUGUGUCUCACCUCACCAGGAUGUGUCCUAAUCUUUUAUGAAUGGAAUUCUUUAUGAACAGAAUGCAAUUCAGACAGAAAGCCACAGGAAGCAAGAAGGUGAAAUUCAGUGGAACCCAAUCAGAAUGUCCAAUGCUUUAGGAGUAAAGACUCCCGACUUAGAUGUUGGAGAUUUUCUUCUCUUCCUCAUGCAGAUGGGUUCAGGUGUGUCUGAAGUUUAGGGUGUUCCUUCUGCUUUCAGGUGGUACUGGCAUCAGCGGACCCUAAAUGGGUAGGGGUGAUGGACAAUGGCCAUGCCGAGCAGAGCCUCCCAGCUGAGUUGUUCACAUGGCAGCCAGCAGUCCUAAGGUAGUGCAGCUUCCUGAGCAGUAAAUAAGAUGGAUCAAGUCUUCUCCCAGGCAGAGGCCACUGAGAAACUUCUGGGCAGCUACAGGUGCAAUUAGCUUCUCUUGGUCCUGAGUAGUGGUCAAGGAUAGUGUCCACCAAGGGUCCUGCUCUGGAAAGGAUUCAGAGCCAUCUGCCCCACCCCACCCCCAACCUACUGUCUGCUGCCUGGGCCUAAUAUUGGGUAGCAAGCAGGUCAGUUGUGACACUAAUUCUCAAGCAACCUACCUCCAUGGAAAGCUGAGCCUUCAGGAGUAGAGAGGACUUCUAGCUGUCAGUGAGGUGAUAUUGGAGGAAUUGCAGAGUAGGCCUGGAAAAUGAUGGUUUGUGAGGGCUGGUGACCCUGGGGAAGUCCAGAUAAGAGGGGAUUUGUCUCUGACUCUCCUGAACCAAUGUGACAUGGAUUUUUUCUUAUCUAAAUGCUUAGGAUGUUCUUAGCACUGGGAAGCUCAUCUGAGCUUCAUGCUUGUUUUAAUAGGGUUCCUGAUUCUUCUUUAUUUUCCCUAUUCCACAUGGAGCUGGAUCCCAGCAGAGGGUUCCAAAUGAUAGCGGAAAUCUUCUGACCUCACACCUGCCUCCUGCCUCCCUGGGACCCACUGAAGGAUUUCUUGUCCUUACUCCUUUCGAAGUGGCAGUGAAUGAGCUACAGCUGCAUACGAGAACAUGGAUGAAUCUCACAAACAUGGAGCCAGGAGGAAAAGGCAUACAUCCUGCCUGAUUCCGGAUACAUUAUGUGCAGAAACGGACAAACCUAAUCUGUGGUGUUAGCAGUCAAGACAGUGUUUAUUUUUGGAGUGGGAUGGGCAGUAUUUCUAGGGUCCUGGUAAUUUUCUAUUUCUUCAUCUCAAUGUAAACCUUUUGUGAAAAUGCAAUGAGCUGUGCAUUUGUCAUUUGUGCACUUUCAUAUGAAUGUUACACUUUAAUAAAAUUUUACUUUAAAAAUA